RNAcentral lists this microRNA precursor (77 nucleotides) under Choloepus hoffmanni (Hoffmann's two-fingered sloth). Its description in RNAcentral is "miRNA (ENSCHOG00000015818.1)". Lineage: Eukaryota; Metazoa; Chordata; Mammalia; Pilosa; Megalonychidae. The record is from RNAcentral.
UAGAGUGACCAGCCAUCCUGGUUUGCCUGGGACUGAAGGUUUCCCACAUCCUAAAACCAGGACAGUCUCAGACAAAC